GCAGGGUUGCCGAGCCCUCGCAAUCGCGCUUUAUCUGCCCAGGCAAGCCGCGGCAAGAACGCAAGGGGCGCGAAGAUAAACCGACACUUUCCCAACCGCUUCACCACCCCUCAGCGACUUCCGCUUCCGGCGACUCCAUGGGGAAACUGAAGCCCUAGAGGAAAAGAAGACUAAAUGUAUCACCAUCUGACCCACUUCCUGGCCAGCCUGUUCACCUGUCUGCUGUUCUUCAUUGAUGUGCAAUCUAAGACUCAGAGAAGCUGGAGAAUUUUCCUAACGUCACACAGCAAAGGAAUGGAAGACUCAGGACAAGAAUACACGAUCCUCUCCUUCCAACAUGUCACCCAGCAGAACAAGAGAAGGAAUCACAAUUGGUCCAUGACAGUCACGGUCAUCUCAUUCCUCUUGCCAGUGGCAGGUGUAUGUGUGAGUUUGCAGCUCAAUCCUGGCCAAGGGGAUCCAAGGACUGCUGAAGAGGCAUGUCUGCACAUGUCACCUAGAACAUCUCCAGCCAUCAUGUGAUCUCUGGGGGAGGCAUUCCCAAAUCUCUGAGAGAAGCAGACCAGAAAGAUGGAAAGAAAGCACCUGGCUCCAGGAUGAUGACAUUGAGCCGAUGAAUUAACCACCUUUGUGCUGCUCUAACCUUCAGAGUUCACCUUAACAUGAGAAAAUAAAACCCUUAUUGCUUAGCCA
This 693-nucleotide long non-coding RNA is filed under the name Pan troglodytes (chimpanzee). Its description in RNAcentral is "lincRNA". The record is from RNAcentral. Lineage: Eukaryota; Metazoa; Chordata; Mammalia; Primates; Hominidae.